GAUGAACGCUGGCGGCGUGCCUAAUACAUGCAAGUCGAGCGAACGGACGAGAAGCUUGCUUCUCUGAUGUUAGCGGCGGACGGGUGAGUAACACGUGGAUAACCUACCUAUAAGACUGGGAUAACUUCGGGAAACCGGAGCUAAUACCGGAUGAUAUUUUGAACCGCAUGGUUCAAAAGUGAAAGACGGUCUUGCUGUCACUUAUAGAUGGAUCCGCGCCGCAUUAGCUAGUUGGUAAGGUAACGGCUUACCAAGGCAACGAUGCAUAGCCGACCUGAGAGGGUGAUCGGCCACACUGGAACUGAGACACGGUCCAGACUCCUACGGGAGGCAGCAGUAGGGAAUCUUCCGCAAUGGGCGAAAGCCUGACGGAGCAACCCCGCGUGAGUGAUGAAGGUCUUCGGAUCGUAAAACUCUGUUAUUAGGGAAGAACAUAUGUGUAAGUAACUGUGCACAUCUUGACGGUACCUAAUCAGAAAGCCACGGCUAACUACGUG
This 497-nucleotide ribosomal RNA is filed under the name uncultured bacterium. Its description in RNAcentral is "partial 16S ribosomal RNA". It matches the Rfam family "Bacterial small subunit ribosomal RNA", at positions 28 to 507 of the family's 1533-position model. The record is from RNAcentral.